RNAcentral lists this ribosomal RNA (429 nucleotides) under uncultured bacterium. RNAcentral's name for it is "bacterial SSU rRNA". It matches the Rfam family "Bacterial small subunit ribosomal RNA", at positions 355 to 775 of the family's 1533-position model. The record is from RNAcentral.
UGGGGAAUACUGCGCAAUGGGGGAAACCCUGACGCAGCGACGCCGUAUGAGGGAAGAAGGCUUUCGGGUCGUAAACCUCUGUCAGAAAGGAAGAACCUCCCAAGUCCGAAUAGGGCUUGGGACUGACGGUACUUUCAAAGGAAGCACCGGCUAACUCCGUGCCAGCAGCCGCGGUAAUACGGAGGGUGCAAGCGUUAAUCGGAAUCACUGGGCGUAAAGCGCGCGUAGGCCGCUUUGUAAGUCGGACGUGAAAGCCCUCGGCUCAACCGGGGAACUGCGUUCAAUACUGCGAGGCUUGAGUCCUGGAGAGGGUGGCGGAAUUCCGGGUGUAGGAGUGAAAUCCGUAGAUAUCCGGAGGAACACCGGUGGCGAAGGCGGCCACCUGGACAGGUACUGACGCUGAGGCGCGAAAGCGUGGGGAGCAAACAG